RNAcentral lists this ribosomal RNA (625 nucleotides) under uncultured Bacteroidota bacterium. RNAcentral describes it as "bacterial SSU rRNA". It matches the Rfam family "Bacterial small subunit ribosomal RNA", at positions 897 to 1531 of the family's 1533-position model. Lineage: Bacteria; Pseudomonadati; Bacteroidota. The record is from RNAcentral.
AAACUCAAAGGAAUUGACGGGGGCCCGCACAAGCGGAGGAGCAUGUGGUUUAAUUCGAUGAUACGCGAGGAACCUUACCUGGGCUAGAACGUAGAAUGACCAUAGGUGAAAGCUUAUAUCCCUUCGGGGCAGUCUACGAGGUGCUGCAUGGUUGUCGUCAGCUCGUGCCGUGAGGUGUCGGGUUAAGUCCCAUAACGAGCGCAACCCCUAUCUUUAGUUGCCAACAGGUCAAGCUGGGGACUCUAAAGAAACUGCCUACGCAAGUAGUGAGGAAGGCGGGGAUGACGUCAAAUCAGCACGGCCCUUACGUCCAGGGCUACACACGUGCUACAAUGGCCGAUACAGAGGGCAGCUACCAGGUGACUGGAUGCAAAUCUCCAAAGUCGGUCUCAGUUCGGAUCGGAGUCUGCAACCCGACUCCGUGAAGUUGGAUUCGCUAGUAAUCGCGCAUCAGCCAUGGCGCGGUGAAUACGUUCCCGGGCCUUGUACACACCGCCCGUCAAGCCAUGGAAGCUGGGGGGACCUAAAGUCGAUAACCGUAAGGAGUCGCCUAGGGUAAAACCAGUGACUGGGGCUAAGUCGUAACAAGGUAGCCGUACCGGAAGGUGUGGCUGGAAUACCUCCU